GCGUUAUCCGGAUUUAUAGGUUUAAAGGGUUCGCAGGCGGAAUUUAAGUCAGUGUGAAAGCCUAUAGCUCAACUAUAGAACUGCCACUGAUACUGAUAUUCUUGAGUAUAGAUGAAGUGGGCGGAAUAUGUCAUGUAGCGGUGAAAUGCAUAGAUAUGACAUGGAACACCAAUUGCGAAGGCAGCUCACUAAACUAUUACUGACGCUCAUGAACGAAAGCAUGGGGAGCGAACAGGAUUAGAUACCCUGGUAGUCCAUGCUGUAAACUAUGAUCACUAGAUGUUGGCGAUAUACUGUCAGUGUUUAAGAGAAAUCGUUAAGUGAUCCACCUGGGGAGUACGUUCGCAAGAAUGAAGCUCAAAGGAAUUGACGGGGGCCCGCACAAGCGGAGGAACAUGUGGUUUAAUUCGAUGAUACGCGAGGAACCUUACCAAGACUUAAAUGUAGAUUGACAGAUUGUGAAAAUAGUUUUUCUUCGGACAAUUUACAAGGUGCUGCAUGGUUGUCGUCAGCUCGUGCCGUGAGGUGUCGGGUUAAGUCCCAUAACGAGCGCAACCCCUAUUUUUAGUUACCAGCGAGUAAUGUCGGGAACUCUAGAAAGACUGCCUGUGUAAACAGUGAGGAAGGUGGGGAUGACGUCAAAUCAUCACGGCCCUUAUGUCUUGGGCUACACACGUGUUACAAUGGUUACUACAGUGGGCUGCCAUCUGGCAACAGAGAGCAAAUCCAUAAAGGUAAUCCCAGUUCGGAUCGGAGUCUGCAACUCGACUCUGUGAAGUUGGAUUCGCUAGUAAUCGUAUAUCAGCAAUGAUACGGUGAAUACGUUCCCGGGCCUUGUACACACCGCCCGUCAAGCCAUGGAAGUUUGUGGUGCCUGAAGUCAGUAGCCGAAAGGAGCUGCCUAGGGUAAAACAAAUAACUAGGGCUAGUCGUAACAAGGUUGCCGU
RNAcentral lists this ribosomal RNA (947 nucleotides) under uncultured Bacteroidota bacterium. Its description in RNAcentral is "bacterial SSU rRNA". It matches the Rfam family "Bacterial small subunit ribosomal RNA", at positions 538 to 1503 of the family's 1533-position model. The record is from RNAcentral. Lineage: Bacteria; Pseudomonadati; Bacteroidota.